GCAAAUCGGAGCAAAUAUGGUGGCACGACAAGCAGUUAAGAGAUCCAACCAAACAACAGAGAACUGGCAGGGUGGAUAAACAGAAUCAUCAUUAUUGUUGUGUAUAUAAUACAAUUUGCAUACACUAAUCACAGCGUGCCUCCUCGGAAGUGUUCUCCGGAGGACGGACGGAGUAGCAAAAUCUCACAGCAGGUUCUUUAUUUCAGUUAUCAUGGCGGCAACAAAAUGAAUAGAGGUUCUCGACCGAAUAAUGAUACAUCAACAGUGGAUCUUAAGUUGUCUCCGGGGCAGGGCAGGGCAGGGCUCACUCGCCGCUCAGGAUGGGGUUGAUCAAAGGCUUCAUCUGGGCGAGGUACACGAUUGCCCACCUGCAGAGAAAUAUUAAUGACUUGUUAGAAAAUGAGAGCUGGGACAAGCAGGAUGUGAAACCAUGCUAAAAACAGGCUCGUGAAUGCAGGAAUUCUUUUGUAUAUAGAAAAUAUUGCAACAGGAAAAUUAAGAUAAUGUAGGAAAAUCUGGUGUGCCUAUAAAAUAAUGGCACCGCAAGCGUCCAAGGAUCUGCGACAUUUGUGUGUGUCACUUUUCUCUUCUGGUUGCUAGAACCUUUGUACUCUUGCUUUUUUUAUAGCAAAAAAAAACAGGAAAACUGCAGCAGCAAUGAUGAUUCUAAUAAGCAAGUUGCGUAGGUAAGAGCGUUCUCAUGAUUAAUUUUAAUCAGAAAAAAACUUAAAAUCAAAUCCUUCAGACUAGUUACUAGUUAGUAUGAGAAUAUAUUUCUUGACAAAAAAAAUCCAUUCUACAAGGCUUAAAUACUGGGUUUGGCUUCCUGGGUAUCCCAUUAAUCUGUUUGGAACCAAGCAUCUAAUGUGUUGUAUUAUGCCUGGAUGGUCAGAGAACUAACAUUUGACUUCUACGAAAACAAAAAUAAUCAGUAAAUGGCUUUCACUUGAUCAAAUUAUUUACUCCGAGCACCGAACUAGAAAUAUUAUGGCUUAUGCCACAUAUAACAAAUGUGAACUACUCCCUCCGUCCCAUAAUAUAAGAUCGUUUUCCAAGCUUUGUUAGAUAACAUUGAACGGCGUGCAUAUUAGAUAUUACAAAAACAAGUUGAGAGAAAUAUGUAUGUACGAGUUGUGCUACAAAUCAAGGAAAAAGAAGCGCUAAGUGUGUGUUUUGCCACUUCAUAGCGCAUAUCUCAUGUAUGUGGAUGCCUAAGAACACAUAGGCAUAAGCCAAGCAUGAUUAAGCGCUAGGCAUUCAGUGGUCGCCCAGCUCCUAGGCAAACCUAGGCAAGCUUUUAUUUCACUGCUAUAAAAAAUACCAUUUGUUGUAUACCAGAUUUAUUGAUCAUCAUUUAUAUUGGACAACUGACAGACAUAUUUGGCGCUAAAAGAAUAACUUUAGCUAAUGCAAAAUGGCAACCCAAUGCAAGCUAACAGAUACUUUAUGCCAAAUGAUGUCAAGUAGCGUGCAAGUUUCAUAGCCACAAAUUUUCAUGUCACAAUUGCACGUUUGCAAUACAAAUUUUGAUACGAGGACAUUUUUUUAAGAUGAUAUGCGCAGGACAACAACAGUUGAUGUGGCAAUCUAGGUGUAAGAAGAAGGGAGAAACCAAAUAUGCACAUGGGUAAAAUGGAUCGGAACUUACAUCAUCCAACAACAAACUGUAGCGGUAAUAAC
Molecule: long non-coding RNA, 1680 nt
Filed under: Triticum aestivum (bread wheat)
Lineage: Eukaryota; Viridiplantae; Streptophyta; Magnoliopsida; Poales; Poaceae
Description: long non-coding RNA (TAES_LNC002415)
Source: RNAcentral